Long non-coding RNA from Daucus carota subsp. sativus, 1282 nucleotides. RefSeq lists it as uncharacterized. The record is from RefSeq and is a predicted model, not a curated record. Lineage: Eukaryota; Viridiplantae; Streptophyta; Magnoliopsida; Apiales; Apiaceae. The transcript is spliced from 3 exons.
GAAAUAAUGUCCAUGAAUUUGUUAUGGGAGAUAGAUCACAUCCACAAAGUGAUGAUAUAUAUGCAAAGCUAGCUGAGAUUACAAUGUUGUUACGACUAGAAGGUUAUAUGCCUCGCACCACCAAUGUGCUCGCCGACAUUGAAGAGGAGGAAAAGGAGACUGCUCUAUCAUAUCACAGUGAGAAGAUUGCAAUUGCAUUCAUGCUCAUUAGUACCCCACCUUGCACCCCAAUCAGUGUUGUAAAGAAUCUGAGGGUUUGUGCAGACUGCCAUUUAGCAAUAAAACUCAUAUCCAAGGUUUACAACCGAGAAAUUGUUGUGAGAGAUCGCAGUAGAUUCCACCAUUUUAGAAAUGGUUCAUGUUCUUGUAGAGAUUAUUGGUAAACAUUUGUUUACUUUAUCAAAAUUUUAAAGAAAUGCUAAUGAUGCUCUCUGUAAUUAUGAUUCAUGCAACUAAUCUGUAAAAGAACUUGUCAAUUCUUCUUUUUUCAUACUAAGUCUUGUACACGAGAGGAGUCUUCAUUAAUUCUGCACAUCUUCUAUUUAUUUUCCUGGCAUUUUCUCCUACAAACUUUAUCCCUUCAGAUAUCUCAGGUGAAUAAGGCUGACAAUUUAAACCACAAAGUUUGUGCAGUCUCUGAGAUGAGGAAGCAGCUGAGACUAUUUGGGUUUCCUGACGUGAUUUCCCCUGAUAUUUAUAAGGACAAUGAUUGUGAAGCUUGAGCUCUUGGGCAUAUCCGCAUUGCAUACUAGAUAUGGUCAUCCAACAUCUAACAUCCAGGUCUUAUUGCCCGAUAUCAAUCCAAAUCCAAGUAUAUCAGGCAUGGAAGGAGCAGAUUUUACUCGCUUUGCGACCAUCCUCAGUUUUUCACAACCGACAAUAGUAAAAAUUUUGAGAGAAGGCAGAGCUCCGUACUCAAUUUGCCAUUCUUUCAGAUUGGGGAGAUAUGCAGACUAUUUCUCCCCUUGUGCACACUCCCAUACCCAUAUACAGAGCAGUAAGAUUUGAAAAACUCCAUAAAGUGGGCAUCAGAUCUUGUAUGAACUCACUACCUUGCAACUGAAUCUGGUAAAAAACUUAAGUCUAAUGGAUCUUUCUUUACAGUGGCUUGCACAUUAGAUUCAGCUUUGGGGCAAGAGUGGAAUAGAAUCCGACCUUUGUCUGAGCUAGUGCUAAGGGUGUGGCGAGUAAAAGAACAAGAAGCAAAUAUAAUUUUUUAAGAAAAGAAUCCAUUUGAGCUUUGUGAUGCAUUACUAUUGUUAUAAGUUUGUUUGAAUUAAUU